Molecule: long non-coding RNA, 426 nt
Organism: Stomoxys calcitrans (stable fly)
Lineage: Eukaryota; Metazoa; Arthropoda; Insecta; Diptera; Muscidae
Exons: 3
Source: RefSeq, a predicted model, not a curated record
CGCAAUGAUUUAAUUUAUGCAUUGUCGCUGCGAAUGAAGGCUUAAGACCUUAUAUAUAUCAUACAUGUACAUUGGCUGUUGUGCAAUGAUUAAGUGAACGCGAUUUUGUUGCCCGUCAAAACGUACGCGAAAUGCUAAUUGACAACCUGCCUGAAGACACGAAAAAAAUUGUGCAAUUUUCGGCCACCUUUACCUUCCAAUGCAGAGAAUGAGCGGAUAAUACGUGAAUCUUUGUUUUUCAAUUUUCCUUCAAUCAAUAUUUAUUUAAAACCAUCGAUUUUAUCAGUGGCAACGCUGAAUACGUCGGGCAAUUCUUAACCUCUCGUUCCAACGUCCAUCGAGCAGCAGAAAGGAAUAGACAAUAGGAGGACAAUGAAAAACGUGAGGAGAGGCACUUCAUCGAUUCUCGAUGUCAAUGGGGGCAAA